RNAcentral lists this small RNA (36 nucleotides) under Arabidopsis thaliana (thale cress). RNAcentral's name for it is "ATSL306600". The record is from RNAcentral. Lineage: Eukaryota; Viridiplantae; Streptophyta; Magnoliopsida; Brassicales; Brassicaceae.
AAAAAAAAAUCAAAAACAAAAGAGUUAAAAACUUUU